Long non-coding RNA from Ictalurus punctatus (channel catfish), 1003 nucleotides. NCBI's taxonomy places the organism in Eukaryota, Metazoa, Chordata, Actinopteri, Siluriformes, Ictaluridae. The record is from Ensembl.
CUUAACACUACUUAAACGUAUCUACUGAUCUGUGGCACGAUUACUUUUUCAGGGUUAUUUUAAGACAAAAGAUUUUAAAAUGGCUCACUUCUGACAGAUCUCAUGAAUGACAUCAAAAAAUGUCCAGAAAAGGCUGCGGUGAGCAGAAAAGCAUCUCAGAAUGCCCAACCCAUUGAACCUUGGAGCAGAUGGACAACAACAGCAUGUAGUUACACUCCUGUCGAAUCUGAGGCUACAAUGGGCACAGACUGACCAAAACUGGACACAAUAAUAUGGUCUCCUGGUAUAUGAGUAUAUUCAAGAUAUUUUCACUUGAUGAGAUAUUUUAAGAAUUAAAACAGGCAGGAGUGGUUAAGUUUGUGACAAGAUAAAAAAAAAACAACAACAUUCAGAAACAUCAAGAUAACUGGCCUAACUAUAGAGUUAUAAAUAUACUAAUUACACAUGUGCUCUAGAGUUAAUCUCAGUGGAUAUGACUGCUGUGAAUUUUUUUUUCUACUAUGUCUAAACAUAAUACUCCUAUCCCUGCCCUUUCUUCUAAUUUCCACUUAGUGUUAAUAACAAUGUUUCAGUAAAUGAGGCUAAAUGGGCAACUUUUUUCUAUAUAUAAUUUAGACACCUGGCAAUCAGGUUAGUGGUGACUCACCAGACAAGGAUAUUUUAAUACCAUUACCAAAGAUACACCACAAAGGGAAAGACGCUUCAUGAUGAUUUCAUUUUCUGUAAACAUACGUCCACUUCUGUCUAACAAAGUCCACAUGUCAGUCCAUACAUGGUACUGAACUCUACACCACACACAAGUACGUGUCAGCAUGAUAUUUCUCCACUUCCUAUGUGUCACUUGCCAUGUAUUUCAUUAUAAACGACUCUUUAACUUGGACAAUAAGUAAAUAAGUUUUAAAAGAGAAAAUCCAUCCUGAACGACUUGCAUAUUACAUUUUACAAUUAACGUGCUCUUCAGUGGCAUGAAACAUUUAUUUUAUUUGACUUUUGUAGUUUAAAC